Molecule: ribosomal RNA, 373 nt
Filed under: uncultured organism
Description: partial 16S ribosomal RNA
Rfam family: Bacterial small subunit ribosomal RNA
Source: RNAcentral
GUAGGUGGCAAGCGUUGUCCGGAAUUAUUGGGCGUAAAGCGCGCGCAGGCGGUCCUUUAAGUCUGAUGUGAAAGCCCACGGCUCAACCGUGGAGGGUCAUUGGAAACUGGGGGACUUGAGUACAGAAGAGGAAAGCGGAAUUCCAAGUGUAGCGGUGAAAUGCGUAGAGAUUUGGAGGAUCACCAGUGGCGAAGGCGGCUUUCUGGUCUGUAACUGACGCUGAGGCGCGAAAGCGUGGGGAGCAAACAGGGAUUAGAUACCCUGGUAGUCCACGCCGUAAACGAUGAGUGCUAAGUGUUAGGGGGGUUUCCGCCCCCUUAGUGCUGCAGCUAACGCAUUAAGCACUCCGCCUGGGGAUACGGCCGCAAGGCUG